GACGAACGCUGGCGGCGUGCUUAAUACAUGCAAGUCGAGCGAGGUUACUGUUUCGGAUCCCUUCGGGGUGAAGAAGCUUUAACCUAGCGGCGGACGGGUGAGUAACGCGUGGGUAACCUACCCCAAAGUCCGGGAUAACAGCGGGAAACCGCUGCUAAUACCGGAUGCCUUUACCUUGGGGCAUCUUGAGGUAAAGAAAGGCAACGCUUUGGGAUGGGCCCGCGUCCCAUUAGCUAGUUGGUGAGGUAACGGCUCACCAAGGCGACGAUGGGUAGCCGGCCUGAGAGGGUGGACGGCCACACUGGGACUGAGACACGGCCCAGACUCCUACGGGAGGCAGCAGUAGGGAAUAUUGCGCAAUGGACGGAAGUCUGACGCAGCGACGCCGCGUGAGCGAUGAAGGUCUUCGGAUCGUAAAGCUCUGUCCUUGGGGAAGAAGGUCUUCGGACUUGACGGUACCCAAGAAGAAAGCCCCGGCUAACUACGUG
This 488-nucleotide ribosomal RNA is filed under the name uncultured bacterium. Its description in RNAcentral is "bacterial SSU rRNA". It matches the Rfam family "Bacterial small subunit ribosomal RNA", at positions 28 to 507 of the family's 1533-position model. The record is from RNAcentral.